This 492-nucleotide ribosomal RNA is filed under the name uncultured bacterium. RNAcentral's name for it is "bacterial SSU rRNA". It matches the Rfam family "Bacterial small subunit ribosomal RNA", at positions 37 to 507 of the family's 1533-position model. The record is from RNAcentral.
UGGCGGCGCGUCUUAAACAUGCAAGUCGAACGGUAGUCCUUGAGCUUGCUUAGGGAUGAGAGUGGCGAACGGGUGAGUAACACGUGGAUAAUCUGCCGUCCGGGUUGGGGAUAGCUGUCCGAAAGGAUAGCUAAUACCGAAUGAGAUGGCGGUUACAUAAGUAGCAGCCAUUAAAGGUGGGGACCGCAAGGCCUACUGCCUGGAGAUGAGUCCGCGGCUGAUUAGCUAGUUGGUGGGGUAACGGCCUACCAAGGCGACGAUCAGUAGCCGGCCUGAGAGGGUGAACGGCCACAUUGGGACUGAGAUACGGCCCAGACUCCUACGGGAGGCAGCAGUUAAGAAUCUUGCACAAUGGGCGCAAGCCUGAUGCAGCGACGCCGCGUGAAUGAUGAAGGCCUUCGGGUUGUAAAGUUCAGUAAGCAGGGAAGAAUAAGCAAGGGGUAAUAUUUCUUGUGAUGACGGUACCUGCCUAAAGCCCCGGCUAACUACGUG